This is a transfer RNA of Penicillium oxalicum 114-2, 87 nucleotides long. It matches the Rfam family "tRNA". From Rfam's summary of the family: Transfer RNA (tRNA) molecules are approximately 80 nucleotides in length. Their secondary structure includes four short double-helical elements and three loops (D, anti-codon, and T loops). Further hydrogen bonds mediate the characteristic L-shaped molecular structure. tRNAs have two regions of fundamental functional importance: the anti-codon, which is responsible for specific mRNA codon recognition, and the 3' end, to which the tRNAs corresponding amino acid is attached (by aminoacyl-tRNA synthetases). tRNAs cope with the degeneracy of the genetic code in two manners: having more than one tRNA (with a specific anti-codon) for a particular amino acid; and 'wobble' base-pairing, i.e. permitting non-standard base-pairing at the 3rd anti-codon position. The record is from Rfam. NCBI's taxonomy places the organism in Eukaryota, Fungi, Ascomycota, Eurotiomycetes, Eurotiales, Aspergillaceae.
GCCCGGCUAACUCAAUUGGUCAGAGUGCCAGACUUUUAAGACAAAGAGAUCAUCUGGAGGCUCAGGGUUCGAGUCCCUGGUCGGGCG